GACCGGGUGAGUAACACGUGGGUAACCCUGCCCAUCAGAAGGGGAUAACACUUGGAAACAGGUGCUAAUACCGUAUAACAAUCGAAACCGCAUGGUUUUGAUUUGAAAGGCGCUUUCGGGUGUCGCUGAUGGAUGGACCCGCGGUGCAUUAGCUAGUUGGUGAGGUAACGGCUCACCAAGGCCACGAUGCAUAGCCGACCUGAGAGGGUGAUCGGCCACAUUGGGACUGAGACACGGCCCAAACUCCUACGGGAGGCAGCAGUAGGGAAUCUUCGGCAAUGGACGAAAGUCUGACCGAGCAACGCCGCGUGAGUGAAGAAGGUUUUCGGAUCGUAAAACUCUGUUGUUAGAGAAGAACAAGGAUGAGAGUAACUGUUCAUCCCUUGACGGUAUCUAACCAGAAAGCCACGGCUAACUACGUGCCAGCAGCCGCGGUAAUACGUAGGUGGCAAGCGUUGUCCGGAUUUAUUGGGCGUAAAGCGAGCGCAGGCGGUUUCUUAAGUCUGAUGUGAAAGCCCCCGGCUCAACCGGGGAGGGUCAUUGGAAACUGGGAGACUUGAGUGCAGAAGAGGAGAGUGGAAUUCCAUGUGUAGCGGUGAAAUGCGUAGAUAUAUGGAGGAACACNCAGUGGCGAAGGCGGCUCUCUGGUCUGUAA
Molecule: ribosomal RNA, 655 nt
Filed under: uncultured Bacilli bacterium
Lineage: Bacteria; Bacillati; Bacillota; Bacilli
Description: bacterial SSU rRNA
Rfam family: Bacterial small subunit ribosomal RNA
Source: RNAcentral